This 253-nucleotide ribosomal RNA is filed under the name uncultured bacterium. RNAcentral describes it as "partial 16S ribosomal RNA". It matches the Rfam family "Bacterial small subunit ribosomal RNA", at positions 524 to 776 of the family's 1533-position model. The record is from RNAcentral.
UACAGAGGGGGCUAGCGUUGUUCGGAAUUACUGGGCGUAAAGCGCGCGCAGGCGGCCUUGCAAGUCAGAGGUGAAAGCCCGGAGCUCAACUCCGGAGUUGCGCUUGGGACGGUAGGGCUUGAGAUCGGGAGAGGAGAGUGGAAUUCCCAGUGUAGAGGUGAAACUCGUAGAUAUUGGGAAGAACACCGGUGGCGAAGGCGGCUCUCUGGACCGACACUGACGCUGAGGCGCGAAAGCGUGGGGAGCAAACAGG